AGUGAACGCUGGCGGUAGGCCUAACACAUGCAAGUCGAACGGCAGCACAGUAAGAGCUUGCUCUUACGGGUGGCGAGUGGCGGACGGGUGAGGAAUACAUCGGAAUCUACUUUUUCGUGGGGGAUAACGUAGGGAAACUUACGCUAAUACCGCAUACGACCUACGGGUGAAAGGAGGGGAUCUUCGGACCUUGCGCGAUUGAAUGAGCCGAUGUCGGAUUAGCUAGUUGGCGGGGUAAAGGCCCACCAAGGCGACGAUCCGUAGCUGGUCUGAGAGGAUGAUCAGCCACACUGGAACUGAGACACGGUCCAGACUCCUACGGGAGGCAGCAGUGGGGAAUAUUGGACAAUGGGCGCAAGCCUGAUCCAGCCAUACCGCGUGGGUGAAGAAGGCCUUCGGGUUGUAAAGCCCUUUUGUUGGGAAAGAAAAGCAGCAGGUUAAUACCCCGCUGUUCUGACGGUACCCAAAGAAUAAGCACCGGCUAACUUCGUGC
This 493-nucleotide ribosomal RNA is filed under the name uncultured bacterium. RNAcentral describes it as "partial 16S ribosomal RNA". It matches the Rfam family "Bacterial small subunit ribosomal RNA", at positions 29 to 508 of the family's 1533-position model. The record is from RNAcentral.